RNAcentral lists this ribosomal RNA (434 nucleotides) under uncultured Ruminococcus sp. Its description in RNAcentral is "partial 16S ribosomal RNA". It matches the Rfam family "Bacterial small subunit ribosomal RNA", at positions 341 to 792 of the family's 1533-position model. Lineage: Bacteria; Bacillati; Bacillota; Clostridia; Eubacteriales; Oscillospiraceae. The record is from RNAcentral.
ACGGAAGGCAGCAGUGGGGAAUGUUGCACAAUGGGCGCAAGCCUGUUGCAGCGAUGCCGCGUGAGGGAAGAAGGUUUUCGGAUUGUAAACCUCUGUCAACAGGGACGAAAAUGACGGUACCUGUGAAGGAAGCUCCGGCUAACUACGUGCCAGCAGCCGCGGUAAUACGUAGGGAGCAAGCGUUAUCCGGAAUUACUGGGUGUAAAGGGAGUGUAGGCGGGACUGUAAGUCAGAUGUGAAAUAUGCCGGCUCAACUGGCAGACUGCAUUUGAAACUGCGGUUCUUGAGUGGAGUAGAGGUAAGCGGAAUUCCUAGUGUAACGGUGAAAUGCGUAGAUAUUAGGAGGAACAUCAGUGGCGAAGGCGGCUUACUGGGCUUUAACUGACGCUGAGGCUCGAAAGCGUGGGGAGCAAACAGGAUUAGAUACCCUGGUA